GCUAUCACUAUAGGAUGGGCCCGCGGCGCAUUAGCUAGUUGGUGGGGUAACGGCCUACCAAGGCGACGAUGCGUAGCCGACCUGAGAGGGUGAUCGGCCACACUGGGACUGAGACACGGCCCAGACUCCUACGGGAGGCAGCAGUAGGGAAUCUUCCGCAAUGGACGAAAGUCUGACGGAGCAACGCCGCGUGAGCGAAGAAGGCCUUCGGGUCGUAAAGCUCUGUUGUCAGGGAAGAACAAGUACCGGAGUAACUGCCGGUACCUUGACGGUACCUGACGAGAAAG
This 287-nucleotide ribosomal RNA is filed under the name uncultured bacterium. RNAcentral's name for it is "partial 16S ribosomal RNA". It matches the Rfam family "Bacterial small subunit ribosomal RNA", at positions 211 to 490 of the family's 1533-position model. The record is from RNAcentral.